RNAcentral lists this non-coding RNA (72 nucleotides) under unclassified sequences. Its description in RNAcentral is "DUF3800-IX RNA". It matches the Rfam family "DUF3800-IX RNA". Rfam says of the family: Actinobacteria, Firmicutes (1 example), Nitrospirae, Proteobacteria, Verrucomicrobia (1 example). Nearby to DUF3800 The record is from Rfam by way of RNAcentral.
GCCCCGCCUUGCCGAAUUGUCGCCGGAUGGCGUGCGUGGCCAGCAAUCGCUGGUCUAGGCAGGCGGGUCGCA